CUCAGUUCGGAUUGGAGGCUGAAACCCGCCUCCAUGAAGUUGGAUUCGCUAGUAAUCGCGCAUCAGCCAUGGCGCGGUGAAUACGUUCCCGGGCCUUGUACACACCGCCCGUCAAGCCAUGGGAGCUGGGGGUGCCUGAAGUUCGUGACCGCAAGGAUCGACCUAGGGCAAAACCGGUGACUGGGGCUAAGUCGUAACAAGGUACC
Molecule: ribosomal RNA, 206 nt
Filed under: uncultured bacterium
Lineage: Bacteria
Description: partial 16S ribosomal RNA
Rfam family: Bacterial small subunit ribosomal RNA
Source: RNAcentral